UGGGGAAUAUUGCACAAUGGGCGCAAGCCUGAUGCAGCGACGCCGCGUGCGGGAUGGAGGCCUUCGGGUUGUAAACCGCUUUUGUUCAAGGG
This 92-nucleotide ribosomal RNA is filed under the name uncultured bacterium. RNAcentral describes it as "partial 16S ribosomal RNA". It matches the Rfam family "Bacterial small subunit ribosomal RNA", at positions 355 to 446 of the family's 1533-position model. The record is from RNAcentral.